Rana temporaria (common frog) is the source of this 714-nucleotide long non-coding RNA. RefSeq lists it as uncharacterized. Lineage: Eukaryota; Metazoa; Chordata; Amphibia; Anura; Ranidae. The transcript has 3 exons. The record is from RefSeq and is a predicted model, not a curated record.
ACUGGCAUAAAAAAGAUAGUCUGCCUAUGAGUCAAGUCUUGAUUCCAGGCAGCUGAGCAUGGACAGCAGUGUUAAGCCCACAUUCAUGGCCACGCCCACUGGCAUAUAAAAGACAGUCUGCCUGUGAGUCAAGUCUUGAUUCCAGGCAGCUGAGCAUGGACAGCAGUUCAUUCCUUUCAUCUCCUCCAACAUUGGAAGCCUGGGUCUUCCCUGCACUGUCUGCAGCCUAGAUCUGAAUACUCAACAACAAGCUCUACAAGCCCACACUUUACCUACUCCUAUCCAUUUAAUCCCCUAUCAGGGCUAACCCAUUGGGGGCACUCUGCAGGCACCGGCUCCCCUGAUCCUCGGAGGGCGUCCACUGUGCGGCUCCUUGCAACCCCCCUGGGGUCUGUUUUGGUUUCCCUCUCUCCCCCAUGGGGUUGUGGGUGGCGCUCCCUUCGGAUUUUCUAACGGCUCUGCACAUCUCUGGUUAUUACAAAACCCACUUCAUUCGUUAACGAAUCAACCAUCCCCCUGAAGAGACCACUUAGAGGUCGAAACGCGUCGGGGAACGCACAUCACACAGCAUAAAGCAAUGUUGUAUACAUUUGUCCAAUAUUGUGGAAUAUGUAUUGUAUCACCAGAUCCGUAAAGGGUUUUCUUUCAAUUUGUUAUGGCAUUUAAAAUGUAUGUUAUUGACAACCAUAAAAUAAACCAUGCUUUAUUAUAUUA